UACGUAGGGUGCAAGCGUUUGUCCGGAAUUAUUGGGCGUAAAGAGCUCGUAGGCGGUCUGUCGCGUCGGCUGUGAAAUCCCGGAGCUCAACUCCGGGUCUGCAGUCGAUACGGGCAAACUGGAGUACUGCAGGGGAGACUGGAAUUUCUGGUGUAGCGGUGAAAUGCGCAGAUAUCAGGAGGAACACCGGUGGCGAAGGCGGGUCUCUGGGCAGUAACUGACGCUGAGGAGCGAAAGCGUGGGGGAGCGAACAGG
This 255-nucleotide ribosomal RNA is filed under the name uncultured bacterium. RNAcentral describes it as "partial 16S ribosomal RNA". It matches the Rfam family "Bacterial small subunit ribosomal RNA", at positions 524 to 776 of the family's 1533-position model. The record is from RNAcentral.